AACGAACGCUGGCGGCAGGCUUAACACAUGCAAGUCGAACGCCUCGCCAGGGCAGUGGCAGACGGCUGAGUAACCCGUGGGAACAUACCCUUUUCUACGGAAUAGCUCUGGGAAACGGGAAUUAAUACCGUAUACGCCCUACGGGGGAAAGAUUUAUCGGGGAAGGAUUGGCCCGCGUUGGAUUAGCUAGUUUGUGGGGUAAAGGCCUACCAAGGCGACGAUCCAUAGCUGGUCUGAGAGGAUGAUCAGCCACGUUGGGGCUGAGACACGGCCCCAACUCCGACGGGAGGCAGCGGUGGGGAGUAUUGGACGAUGGGCGCAAGCCUGAUCCAGCCAUGCCGCGUGAGUGAUGAAGGCCUUAGGGUUGUAAAGCUCUUUCACCGAUGAAGAUAAUGACGGUAGUCGGAGAAGAAGCCCCGGCUAACUUCGUG
RNAcentral lists this ribosomal RNA (431 nucleotides) under uncultured bacterium. Its description in RNAcentral is "partial 16S ribosomal RNA". It matches the Rfam family "Bacterial small subunit ribosomal RNA", at positions 29 to 507 of the family's 1533-position model. The record is from RNAcentral.